UCGCCUCCUCUGUUUCCCGUCGCGCCGCGCGGGAGGUUGAAGGCGACCUGCCGCCGGGCCCCGCGCGUCAUCGACCAAGUGGGCUGGCCCGACCGUUUAAGUGGAAACGGCUUUGGGUAGAUCCGCCUCCCCCGCGCAAAGGCGCACCGCCGUGAAGCCGCCUUCAACGGCAGCUCUUCCGCCCGCACAGAACAGCCGCCGGGGCCGGCCCAAUUGCUAUUCCGCGCUCAGUGCGCACAGCUGCCGCCCCAGAUCCAGCCCAUUUGGGUAAAAAUCUUUUACUUUUUCUUUUCUGUAAUAUUUGUAUAAUCCACAAAUAAAUCUAAUAAAUUCCCAAUCUUGUAAUUCAAAUUUCUAGUGACUCCAUAAAUCAUGAUCUACCUUUUGGUGCAACAUGCACAUUUUUCCAGAACAACUUUCCUUACACAAAUUAAAUAAAAUCCCAUUUUCCAUUUCUGUGAUGAACUUUAGAAAAUUACAGAGAGAUAAUCUUUGAUCCAAAUGCCAUGAUUCAAAUUUCUAGAUGCUUCUGAGUUCAUAACUUAGGUUAUCAACAUUUUUAUUAAUACUUUCUGUGCCACACAAUAUAAUGAGCCAUUUCUUCAUAUUUGUCAACUUUGCAAAUUCAUAGGGAAUUCAUUUGAACUCCAAAUCCAGUGAAACGAACUCCUAGAUGCUUCUAAAAUCAUGAUUUGUUAAAUGGGUGCCUUUUCUCAUUUUUCAAAAAUAUAUUUCUGUACACUUCUUGCAAAUCCAUAAAUCCAAUGAUUCUAUCAUAUUGAAAUACUCAGAAAUAUGCACUGAUCUAGUCCCAAUGUAACCACUCUGGUUAUUUUUCAUAUGACCAGAGAUGUCCUAGAAAAGUCAAAUUCAUAUUUUUAGAGCACUUUUAUGUUUGCCUUGCUGUGUUGCUUAUUGUGUUUGUUUCCGACGUUAGUUGACGAAGUAGACGGAGUACUUGGAAGGACCAGAAGAUUUCAAGACUCUGAUGAACCAGGCAAGCAGCCCUUUGACCACGAUGAACCCUUUUACAUCACAAAAGCUUUUCCAUUGUUUCAUCGAGUGCAUGGUAUAUCUUGAAUGGCAACUUGCUAGGCUUGCCUCCUUUGCAUACCCUGUUGAUACUUGCAUUGUUCAUGACUAUAUCCGUGUUUAGAGUUGUGUUGAUGGGUUGUAGAAAUAUGCUAUAGUAAAUGGCUACGCAAAGUGGGUCAGGGUUAUGCAUGGAAAGAAACAAGUGUGGUUUGACAUACUUGCAAACAGCCCCAGUGGGUGCCACUAAUGCCCCUGGGAGAUGAUGAUGAAUUAGGUCACUACUUGGUGGAGAGGUAGUGUACCAAGGCUUGAUGAAAGUGUUGUUUACAGAGACGGAUUAGAUUUAAGAUUGUCUAUCGUCCCAACCAAACAUGUACAACCACACUACCCCCUUAUGGGAUGGGGCAUUAUUGAUUACCUAGUUCGUGCUAGCAUGGAUGCCCGCAUUACUAGUGACGUGGUCACUCUCGGGACGGGAUCGUGGUUGGAUAGGCGGCCAUGACUGUUUUCACAGGGCACCGGACACACCGAUGGUACCCCAGUGCAUGCGAGAUGUGAUGAGUAUGGGAGCGUGGCUCCACCAAAUUAAAUUGUGAAAAUGUUUGGCACGGGGGCUGUUACCAAUCGAGUGGACUCUAUGUUGGUCACGACUAGGGAAAGGUAGUCAUCGGGUGAUUACCCCGGGUACUUAAGGUACCGCGGGUCGUGGAUGACACGAAAGUUUCCCGGAUCUUGUGGGUAAAGUGUGCAACCUCUGCAGAGUGUCAAACUAUUCGAAUAGCCGUGUCCAUAGUCAAGGACAGUUGGGUGGUGCUGCUUAGACUAUGUCCAUAUGUUUCUGAUAAACAACACGGGUCGAGUAUAUUGUUGAUGUGAUUCGUGAGGAAGUCAUGAUGAGCUUGAGCAUGAGUUGUUCACAACUCUUUUUCGACGUUAAUGUCUGUAACCUCCUGAUACUUGUUGCAGGCGCAUUCUUGUCCUUGAUAAAUGUUGAUCAUACUUGCAUGAGCAAAACUAGCUUUCCGCAAAAAUGCAAAUUUAGCAGUUGAGCCUUGCAUAAUUAUUCUUUUAUCACUCUUGGGUUGCUUGCGAGUACAUUCAAAGUACUCAUUGGCUUGCCACUGGUUAUUUUAUUGGCCAGGCUUGAAAGAAUAGGAUACGAUGAAGAAUACUUUGGCGACGAACAUGCGAGCUAGGACGCUUCCCAGUCAGAAUGCCUGUAGGGUUAAGGCAGAUGGCAUGGGUCCAAGUUAUCGACGAAGAUUUCCGCUACGAAGUUAUACUCAAGACUUGACCAUAAUGGUCAUAAUUUAUGUAAGACAGUAUGUAUGGAUGUAAGACUCUUGUUAUUCAGCUUCUGUGUGUUCAGUGAGCAUUGAUCUCUGGGAUCAUUGUACACGUGCAUUCGGUGAUCACGACUUAUGAGUCGGGGUCCCCACAGUUCAGAUUUUGGUUGCAUGUGCGAUGCAGGGCACACGGAUGAUCCAUAUGACUAUUUGCGAUGAGACAGAACAACAGAAAUGGAAG
RNAcentral lists this long non-coding RNA (2562 nucleotides) under Triticum aestivum (bread wheat). RNAcentral describes it as "long non-coding RNA (TAES_LNC018466)". The record is from RNAcentral. Lineage: Eukaryota; Viridiplantae; Streptophyta; Magnoliopsida; Poales; Poaceae.